UAAAAUAUGGGAGAAAGCUUAUGUUUAGGAGGGGGGGAGGGAAGAGGUUAUGGUAAGGAACUGAUGGAGUGGCUAUGUUUUAGGACCGGGACGGAUGGAGGGGCGAGACGGAUCAUCAUUUAGGCCAAACGGGGCUAUGGAGGAAAGCCUAAAGAUCCACCUUCUCUCAGCAGCUCUCCUCUGGACCAGGGACCAACCGACAUUGGUCUCUAGACCGGACAAUGAAAAGUUGUUGAUAUGAUGUGAGAUGAAACGGUCCUGCAUAGUUUGCACUGGAUGGCGUAGACGACAUUGCAGGAGAGUAGUGUGAAGGUCUGCGAGAUGGGGGCACCGGCUCGACAGUUGAAGAUGUACUUCAGGGAGAACGGGCCGGCCUGGCUGGAAGAGGGCGGUCACUUCCCCUUUAAUGGUC
Long non-coding RNA from Gadus morhua (Atlantic cod), 412 nucleotides. RefSeq lists it as uncharacterized. The record is from RefSeq and is a predicted model, not a curated record. Lineage: Eukaryota; Metazoa; Chordata; Actinopteri; Gadiformes; Gadidae. The transcript is spliced from 3 exons.